RNAcentral lists this ribosomal RNA (800 nucleotides) under Enterobacter cloacae. RNAcentral describes it as "bacterial SSU rRNA". It matches the Rfam family "Bacterial small subunit ribosomal RNA", at positions 330 to 1121 of the family's 1533-position model. The record is from RNAcentral. Lineage: Bacteria; Pseudomonadati; Pseudomonadota; Gammaproteobacteria; Enterobacterales; Enterobacteriaceae.
UCCAGACUCCUACNGGAGGCAGCAGUGGGGAAUAUUGCACAAUGGGCGCAAGCCUGAUGCAGCCAUGCCNCGUGUAUGAAGAAGGCCUUCGGGUUGUAAAGUACUUUCAGCGGGGANGAAGGUGUUGUGGUUNAUNNCCGCAGCAAUUGACGUUACCCGCAGAAGAAGCACCGGCUAACUCCGUGCCAGCAGCCGCGGUNAUACGGAGGGUGCAAGCGUUAAUCNNGAAUUACUGGGCGUAAAGCGCACGCAGGCGGUCUGUCAAGUCGGAUGUGAAAUCCCCGGGCUCANCCUGGGAACUGCAUUCGAAACUGGCNGGCUAGAGUCUUGUAGAGGGGGGUAGAAUUCCAGGUGUAGCGGUGAAAUGCGUAGAGAUCUGGAGGAAUACCGGUGGCGAAGGCGGCCCCCUGGACAAAGACUGACGCUCAGGUGCGAAAGCGUGGGGAGCAAACAGGAUUAGAUACCCUGGUAGUCCACGCCGUAAACGAUGUCGACUUGGAGGUUGUGCCCUUGAGGCGUGGCUUCCGGAGCUAACGCGUUAAGUCGACCGCCUGGGGAGUACGGCCGCAAGGUUAAAACUCAAAUGAAUUGACGGGGGCCCGCACAAGCGGUGGAGCAUGUGGUUUAAUUCGAUGCAACGCGAAGAACCUUACCUACUCUUGACAUCCAGAGAACUUAGCAGAGAUGCUUUGGUGCCUUCGGGAACUCUGAGACAGGUGCUGCAUGGCUGUCGUCAGCUCGUGUUGUGAAAUGUUGGGUUAAGUCCCGCAACGAGCGCAACCCUUAUCCUUUGUUGCCAG